GACGAACGCUGGCGGCGUGCCUAAUACAUGCAAGUCGAGCGAGCGGAACUAACAGAUUUACUUCGGUAAUGACGUUAGGAAAGCGAUCGGCGGAUGGGUGAGUAACACGUGGGGAACCUGCCCCAUAGUCUGGGAUACCACUUGGAAACAGGUGCUAAUACCGGAUAAGAAAGCAGAUCGCAUGGUCAGCUUUUAAAAGGCGGCGGAAGCUGUCGCUAUGGGAUGGCCCCGGGGUGCAUUAGCUAGUUGGUAAGGUCAAGGCUUACCAAGGCGAUGAUGCAUAGCCGAGUUGAGAGACUGAUCGGCCACAUUGGGACUGAGACACGGCCCAAACUCCUACGGGAGGCAGCAGUAGGGAAUCUUCGACAAUGGACGAAAGUCUGAUGGAGCAACGCCGCGUGAGUGAAGAAGGUAUUCGGAUCGUAAAGCUCUGUUGUUGGUGAAGAAGGAGAGAGGCAGUAACUGGCCUUUAUUUGACGGUAAUCAACCAGAAAGUCACGGCUAACUACGUG
RNAcentral lists this ribosomal RNA (512 nucleotides) under uncultured bacterium. Its description in RNAcentral is "partial 16S ribosomal RNA". It matches the Rfam family "Bacterial small subunit ribosomal RNA", at positions 28 to 507 of the family's 1533-position model. The record is from RNAcentral.